RNAcentral lists this ribosomal RNA (906 nucleotides) under Ophiomyia nasuta. Its description in RNAcentral is "eukaryotic LSU rRNA". It matches the Rfam family "Eukaryotic large subunit ribosomal RNA", at positions 149 to 886 of the family's 3401-position model. Lineage: Eukaryota; Metazoa; Arthropoda; Insecta; Diptera; Agromyzidae. The record is from RNAcentral.
UGUAUGGAAUAUCUAAAUUCUAGUAUGAAAAAUUAAUGAUUUAAGUCCUUCUUAAAUGAGGCCAUUUACCCAUAGAGGGUGCCAGGCCCGUAUAACAUUAAUGAUUACUAGAAGAUAUUUCCAAAGAGUCGUGUUGCUUGAUAGUGCAGCACUAAGUGGGUGGUAAACUCCAUCUAAAACUAAAUAUAACCAUGAGACCGAUAGUAAACAAGUACCGUGAGGGAAAGUUGAAAAGAACUCUGAAUAGAGAGUUAAAUAGUACGUGAAACUGCUUAGAGGUUAAGCCCGAUGAACCUGAAUAUCCAUUAUAAAGAAUUCAUCAUCAAUAUGAUUAUAUAUAAAAAAUAUAAUUAUAAUGGUGUGCAUUUUCUUUAUAUAAGGACAUUGUAAUUUAUUAACAUAAUGAAUUUAUUAUAAGAUCAUUAGCAAGAGUUUAUUUAAAUUAUUUACUUCGGUAAUUUAUAUUAAGUAAAUGCUUUUGAUUUAAUAAAGUGUUGAUAAAUUUAAUCAUAUGUAUAAUGCAUAAAUUUCAUAUGAAAUUUUAUAAUAUUUUAUAUUAUAAGCAUUUAUACGAUUAACAAUGCGAAAGAUUCAGGAUACCUUCGGGACCCGUCUUGAAACACGGACCAAGGAGUCUAACAUAUGUGCAAGCUUUUGGGUAUUUAUAUAACAAAACCCAUAAGCAUAAUUAACUUAACUAUAUUUAAUGGGAUGAAUUUAUAUUAAUAAGUUAAUAUUAAUGCAAUCCCGGGGCGUUCUAUAUAGUUAUGUAUAAUAAUAUUUUAUAUUAUUUAUGCCUCUAACUAGAGCGUACCUUGAGCAUAUAUGCUGUGACCCGAAAGAUGGUGAACUAUACUUGAUCAGGUUGAAGUCAGGGGAAACCCUGAUGGAAGACCGAAACAGUUC